AGCACCCGUGUGGGUGUUUGUCAGACAGCCGGACAGAGGCUUUGAGACAGGGGCAAACGCCAGGUCCUCUUUUGCAGGGCGGAACUCACUGUUCUGUCUGAGUUCUGAUACAGACAAGAAGGGACGUG
Molecule: small nucleolar RNA, 128 nt
Organism: Sorex araneus (European shrew)
Lineage: Eukaryota; Metazoa; Chordata; Mammalia; Eulipotyphla; Soricidae
Product: small nucleolar RNA SNORA40
Exons: 1
Source: RefSeq, a predicted model, not a curated record